Molecule: long non-coding RNA, 341 nt
Filed under: Hordeum vulgare
Lineage: Eukaryota; Viridiplantae; Streptophyta; Magnoliopsida; Poales; Poaceae
Description: long non-coding RNA (HVUL_LNC001575)
Source: RNAcentral
GAUUAGGGUGUCUACAUGAUGCAACAUGUUUAUGGAGUACCCCCUGAUCAUCUUGUCAUCACCUGAUUUGGGCAUCAAGGUGUACCUCAUAAUAGUGUUGGUGGUGGGUAGUGCUGCUUGCAAAAAGUAGACUGAUACAAGCUUGUGUGACUUCAAGUAUUCCUCAGGAAUUAGGUUAUACAUGUUGUCCAUGGUGUCGUGGUUGAUCUUGGCCUGAGUACAAACUUCCAGAUCUCCAUCCCGCACCUCUGGGAUCCUAAGAUGGCAGCCCAUUCAUCAACGGUAGAUUGGUACCUGGUGCCUUGUCUCAUCCAUACAAUUCUACCAUAUGGAUAUAAAUG